UAACACAACUCUGGAGAGACCGGUUCGAUCCGGCGCCGAAGGGGCACGAAGCCGCGGUUUUCCGCGCUUCCAAACUCUCAGGCAAAAGGACAGAGGGGCGCCC
Molecule: non-coding RNA, 103 nt
Filed under: Stenotrophomonas maltophilia D457
Lineage: Bacteria; Pseudomonadati; Pseudomonadota; Gammaproteobacteria; Lysobacterales; Lysobacteraceae
Description: Glycine riboswitch (Rfam family RF00504)
Rfam family: Glycine riboswitch aptamer
About the family: This family represents the bacterial glycine riboswitch. Glycine riboswitches usually consist of two metabolite-binding aptamers domains with similar structures in tandem.
Source: RNAcentral